Molecule: ribosomal RNA, 352 nt
Filed under: Salmonella enterica subsp. enterica
Lineage: Bacteria; Pseudomonadati; Pseudomonadota; Gammaproteobacteria; Enterobacterales; Enterobacteriaceae
Description: bacterial SSU rRNA
Rfam family: Bacterial small subunit ribosomal RNA
Source: RNAcentral
UUAAAUUGAAGAGUUUGAUCAUGGCUCAGAUUGAACGCUGGCGGCAGGCCUAACACAUGCAAGUCGAACGGUAACAGGAAGCAGCUUGCUGCUUUGCUGACGAGUGGCGGACGGGUGAGUAAUGUCUGGGAAACUGCCUGAUGGAGGGGGAUAACUACUGGAAACGGUGGCUAAUACCGCAUAACGUCGCAAGACCAAAGAGGGGGACCUUCGGGCCUCUUGCCAUCAGAUGUGCCCAGAUGGGAUUAGCUUGUUGGUGAGGUAACGGCUCACCAAGGCGACGAUCCCUAGCUGGGCUGAGAGGAUGACCAGCCACACUGGAACUGAGACACGGUCCAGACUCCUACGGGAG